Molecule: ribosomal RNA, 854 nt
Filed under: Platymantis negrosensis (Negros forest frog)
Lineage: Eukaryota; Metazoa; Chordata; Amphibia; Anura; Ceratobatrachidae
Description: partial 16S ribosomal RNA
Rfam family: Bacterial large subunit ribosomal RNA
Source: RNAcentral
CAAAAAGCGUCAAAGCACACCGUCACUAAUAUUUCUAAUUUCCCCCACCCCAAUAAACCCUCCACCCGUAUUGAAUGACCCCAUUAAACUAUGGGAACCACCCUGUUUGAACUAGUAACCAGAAUUCGAAAUUCUCCUAGAUGUAAGUAUAAGCCGCAACGGACAACCCAACGGCAAUUAAAGUAAAUGAAACUAUUGCAGCAACCUAGUUACAAAAACCUGCAAUAACAAACGUUAACCUAACACAAGAACAUCCCAAGAAAGAUUAAAAAAGAGAGAAGGAACUCGGCAAACCUCAAACCCCGCCUGUUUACCAAAAACAUCGCCUCUUGAUAAACUAUAAGAGGUCCAGCCUGCCCAAUGAUUAAUUAAAUGGCCGCGGUAUCCUAACCGUGCAAAGGUAGCAUAAUAACUUGCCCCUUAAUUAGGGACUAGCAUGAACGGCACCACGAGGGUUAAACUGUCUCCCCUCUUUAAUCAGUGAAACUGACCUCCCCGUGAAAAGGCGGGAAUUUAACUACAAGACGAGAAGACCCCAUGGAGCUUUAGACCUAAAGCACAUCAAAUAUCUACUUCACCAAAAUUUAUAGUACCUGACUCCAAGUCUUAGGUUGGGGCAACCGUGGAGCAAAACCUAACCUCCAUUAUGAAUGGAUAUAAUCCUAACCCAAGAAUUACAAUUCUAAGAAUCAAUAAAUUGACACCCACUGACCCAAAAUUUGAUCAACGAACCAAGUUACCCUGGGGAUAACAGCGCCAUCUACCUCAAGAGUUCAUAUCGACAGGUGGGUUUACGACCUCGAUGUUGGAUCAGGGUACCCCUGUGGUGCAACCGCUACAUAAGGUUCGUUUGU